RNAcentral lists this ribosomal RNA (741 nucleotides) under uncultured beta proteobacterium. RNAcentral's name for it is "bacterial SSU rRNA". It matches the Rfam family "Bacterial small subunit ribosomal RNA", at positions 138 to 873 of the family's 1533-position model. The record is from RNAcentral. Lineage: Bacteria; Pseudomonadati; Pseudomonadota; Betaproteobacteria.
GGGGGAUAACUAGUCGAAAGAUUAGCUAAUACCGCAUACGCCCUGAGGGGGAAAGUAGGGGAUCUUCGGACCUUACGUUAUAAGAGCGGCCGAUAUCUGAUUAGCUAGUUGGUGGGGUAAGAGCCUACCAAGGCGACGAUCAGUAGCUGGUCUGAGAGGACGACCAGCCACACUGGAACUGAGACACGGUCCAGACUCCUACGGGAGGCAGCAGUGGGGAAUUUUGGACAAUGGGCGAAAGCCUGAUCCAGCCAUUCCGCGUGAGUGAAGAAGGCCUUCGGGUUGUAAAGCUCUUUCGCAAGGGAAGAAAACUUACAUUCUAAUAAAGUGUGAGGCUGACGGUACCUUGAUAAGAAGCACCGGCUAACUACGUGCCAGCAGCCGCGGUAAUACGUAGGGUGCGAGCGUUAAUCGGAAUUACUGGGCGUAAAGCGUGCGCAGGCGGUUUUGUAAGUCAGAUGUGAAAUCCCCGAGCUCAACUUGGGAACUGCGUUUGAAACUACAAGACUAGAAUAUGUCAGAGGGGGGUAGAAUUCCACGUGUAGCAGUGAAAUGCGUAGAGAUGUGGAGGAAUACCAAUGGCGAAGGCAGCCCCCUGGGAUAAUAUUGACGCUCAUGCACGAAAGCGUGGGGAGCAAACAGGAUUAGAUACCCUGGUAGUCCACGCCCUAAACGAUGUCUACUAGUUGUUGGUGGAGUAAAAUCCAUGAGUAACGCAGCUAACGCGUGAAGUAGACCGCC